RNAcentral lists this ribosomal RNA (253 nucleotides) under uncultured bacterium. RNAcentral describes it as "partial 16S ribosomal RNA". It matches the Rfam family "Bacterial small subunit ribosomal RNA", at positions 524 to 776 of the family's 1533-position model. The record is from RNAcentral.
UACGGAGGGUGCAAGCAUUAAUCGGAUUUAUUGGGCGUAAAGGGCGCGUAGGCGGAGAUGUAAGUCAGAUGUGAAAUCCCGGGGCUCAACCUCGGAACAGCAUUUGAAACUACAUCCCUAGAGGGUAGGCGGAGAAAAUGGAAUUCCACAAGUAGCGGUGAAAUGCGUAGAUAUGUGGAAGAACACCAGUGGCGAAGGCGAUUUUCUAGCUUAUUCCUGACGCUAAAGCGCGAAAGCAAGGGGAUCAAACAGG